RNAcentral lists this non-coding RNA (107 nucleotides) under bovine gut metagenome. RNAcentral describes it as "THF riboswitch". It matches the Rfam family "THF (Tetrahydrofolate) riboswitch aptamer". From Rfam's summary of the family: THF riboswitch presents a pseudoknot that joins P1-P2 and the loop of P3 and two THF binding. The record is from RNAcentral.
CAGAGUAGGGAAACCGCGUCAAGUGCCGGCAGAUGGGAUGUCGCCGCCGGACGAAGGCGAGGGGAGCGCAAAUGCCCCACGCCGCGAUGGAUUCCCGCGUCCGCUGU